Molecule: ribosomal RNA, 497 nt
Filed under: uncultured bacterium
Lineage: Bacteria
Description: partial 16S ribosomal RNA
Rfam family: Bacterial small subunit ribosomal RNA
Source: RNAcentral
GAUGAACGCUGGCGGCGUGCCUAAUACAUGCAAGUCGAGCGAACAGACGAGGAGCUUGCUCCUCUGACGUUAGCGGCGGACGGGUGAGUAACACGUGGAUAACCUACCUAUAAGACUGGGAUAACUUCGGGAAACCGGAGCUAAUACCGGAAAAUAUAUUGAACCGCAUGGUUCAAUAGUGAAAGACGGUUUUGCUGUCACUUAUAGAUGGAUCCGCGCCGCAUUAGUUAGUUGGUAAGGUAACGGCUUACCAAGGCGACGAUGCGUAGCCGACCUGAGAGGGUGAUCGGCCACACUGGAACUGAGACACGGUCCAGACUCCUACGGGAGGCCGCAGUAGGGAAUCUUCCGCAAUGGGCGAAAGCCUGACGGAGCAACGCCGCGUGAGUGAUGAAGGUCUUCGGAUCGUAAAACUCUGUUAUUAGGGAAGAACAAAUGUGUAAGUAACUAUGCACGUCUUGACGGUACCUAAUCAGAAAGCCACGGCUAACUACGUG